CGAAUUGCAAGAUGAUUUUGUCAUGAUCUGAUUGGCUUGUCGGCUGAGAGGUUGUCGGUCCACCAGCUGGCUGUUGAGUUGCAGCAAUCAACUGAAAAUUCUUGACAGAUGCAACUGUCACCCGCCCUCGAAAAUUUAGGCACCAGCACUGCAGUUGUUCAUGCCAUCGUGGCGCCUUGUUCUUUAGGACCAGUGGUUUCCCCUUGCCAUCAUCUUCUUCAUUAGUUGAUCCUCCAGCAAUGUCAGAAAAUCGCGAGCUACUGAACUCGGUGGAAUGAUCAAGUGACUUUGAGAAAGAAAUACUGCGAAAUGAAUCCUCGAGGGGCCUUG
RNAcentral lists this long non-coding RNA (330 nucleotides) under Nicotiana tabacum (common tobacco). Its description in RNAcentral is "long non-coding RNA (NTAB_LNC017934)". The record is from RNAcentral. Lineage: Eukaryota; Viridiplantae; Streptophyta; Magnoliopsida; Solanales; Solanaceae.